CCUACGGGCGGCAGCAGUGAGGAAUAUUGGUCAAUGGACUAGCGCCUGAACCAGCCAAGUAGCGUGAAGGAUGACUGCCCUAUGGGUUGUAAACUUCUUUUAUAUGGGAAUAAAAUGUUCCACGUGUGGCAUUUUGUAUGUACCAUAUGAAUAAGGCUCGGCUAACUCCGUGCCAGCAGCCGCGGUAAUACGGAGGAUCCGAGCGUUAUCCGGAUUUUUUGGGUUUAAAGGGAGCGUAGGUGGGUUGUUAAGUUAGUUGGGAAAGUGUGCGGCUCAACCGUAAAAUUGCAGUUGAAACUGGCAGUCUUGAGUACAGUAGAGGUAGGCGGAAUUCGUGGUGUAGCGGUGAAAUGCUUAGAUAUCACGAAGAACUCCGAUUGCGAAGGCAGUUCACUGGACUGCAACUGACACUGAGGCUCGAAAGUGUGGGUAUCAAACAGGAUUAGAUACCCGGGUAGUC
This 460-nucleotide ribosomal RNA is filed under the name uncultured bacterium. Its description in RNAcentral is "partial 16S ribosomal RNA". It matches the Rfam family "Bacterial small subunit ribosomal RNA", at positions 338 to 795 of the family's 1533-position model. The record is from RNAcentral.